CCUGAACUGGUUGACUAUAUAAGUUGAAGGGGUAUAUCGUAUUGGGAACUUCUAGAGCUGAGCGUUGUAUAACAUACAAGCACUAGGACAGACAAAGUAACAAGGUUAUCAUCAUGAAGAUAUUACAACUGAUGCUUUUAGGUUGUGUUGUUAUUGCAGUCGAGGCAGUCAUCACUGGUGAUGCUACAUGUGAUAACAGCAUGCAAUUUUAUGCAGACGGUGUUCUAUAUCCUAACACUAACGACAACGAUUGGACCAAAACAUCACCCAUCAGUAUUUCCGAUAAUACACAAGUUAUUGCCGUAAAAUGUAUGGAUUUUGGUGUAGUUGCUGGCAUCAAAUUGGCAUUGAGUAAUGGCAUCAAAACUGACACAACAUGGAAAUGUUCAGCUACACAUGAAGAUGGCUGGGAAACACCUGGGUUUGAUGACGGGGGCUGGUCAAGCGCUAUAGUGCCGACUGUUUCUAACUGGGGAUCGCAGCCUGCUGCUCUGGAUGGAAAGGCUGACUGGAUUUGGACAACCGGCUUUCGGGGACAGGAUAAAACAGUUUAUUGUAGAAAGGUUAUCAGGGAAUCGAGAGAUUGCGAUUGCUGUGAAUCCAUUCAUGAGAAGUUAGAUCGUCUGAUUGCCUUGUAUUCCAAACCUGGUAAACCUGUUCACCCUGUUCAUCCUCGUUACUUUGGUAAACCUGUUAAACCCAAAACUGAUUAAACCGGCGCAUUGAAAAAAUAAACAAUUUAACAGUGAA
Long non-coding RNA from Patella vulgata (common limpet), 750 nucleotides. RefSeq lists it as uncharacterized. Lineage: Eukaryota; Metazoa; Mollusca; Gastropoda; Patellidae. The record is from RefSeq and is a predicted model, not a curated record. The transcript has 5 exons.